Branchiostoma floridae (Florida lancelet) is the source of this 240-nucleotide long non-coding RNA. RefSeq lists it as uncharacterized. The record is from RefSeq and is a predicted model, not a curated record. NCBI's taxonomy places the organism in Eukaryota, Metazoa, Chordata, Leptocardii, Amphioxiformes, Branchiostomatidae. The transcript is spliced from 4 exons.
AGGCAGAAGAAGAUGCAAUACUGUUACUAGAAAAGACAUUACCAAAAGAAAAGCCCCCGAAGACUAUAAAACAGGACAAGAACGUCAUGGACCAGAUCCUGGAAGCCAACCAAGAACUAAACAUGUUCGAGGGUGACAUCCUCGGAGUUUCUGCUAGAACUAUGACCAGGAACGCCAUCAGGGACGUGACUGAAAUCUGGACCUCCCGAAUCAUUCCCUUCGUCAUCAAAACAGACGACU